Oreochromis aureus is the source of this 709-nucleotide long non-coding RNA. Lineage: Eukaryota; Metazoa; Chordata; Actinopteri; Cichliformes; Cichlidae. The record is from Ensembl.
CCAAGAGACAUUUGUGUCCCUGAUGAUAAGGAAAAAUGUCUGGAACAGUGGGAGCCCUAAUCAUAUUAUUUUACAGUAUUGCAGAGGUAUCACAAUCUGUCCACGUGAACCUCACAGCCACUGUCGGACAGAACGUCACUCUGCCAUGUCGAGCUCCAAACAACAAGCUGAUCGGAGUUGUAGAGUGGAACAGAGCUGACCUGGAGGAUCAGUAUGUGUUUUUGUUCCUGGACGAUCAUACUGAUGCAGCCAAUCAGCAUCCAUCUUUUAAGGGCCGGGUGGAUCUGCAGGACAGACAGAUGAAGGAUGGAAAUGUGUCUUUGAUUCUGAUCGAUGUGAACAUUAAUGACACUGGAACAUACGAGUGUCGUAUCAAGACAGGAACAAAUCGCAAGAGGAGAGCUCAUCUGAAGACCGAGCCCAUCAGCAUCAUCUACCUGAGUGUUGUUGAUCCUCCAGGUGAGUGAGUAGAGUUGAGUGUGUGUGUGAUCAGAGGUGAAGCUGCUUCCUGGUUGUUGAUGUUUGUUUCUAAAGAUGUUGUUGAUGAGACUUUGUAGAAAGCAGCUGGUCUGAGUGAUGUGAUCAGAGUGCAGUAGAUAAUGUCUGACAGCAGUUUGAAGAGGAAAUGGAUUCUGUUCUGUUCUUCACUCAUCACCUACCUGACAGCUGACACCUCACACCUGUUUCUCACCUGCAGGUCACACAGGAG